RNAcentral lists this ribosomal RNA (1017 nucleotides) under Triticum aestivum (bread wheat). Its description in RNAcentral is "partial small subunit ribosomal RNA". Lineage: Eukaryota; Viridiplantae; Streptophyta; Magnoliopsida; Poales; Poaceae. The record is from RNAcentral.
AUGAGGUCCUCCAAGACUAAUGGGAGCGUGCAGAAGGCAGGGAGAGUUAGCCAUGCCCAGGGAGAAGGGCCGAGCUGGGUUCUUGUCGCGGGAGGAGUUCUGGUUAGCACGCUCUCGGUCAGACUUGGAUGCAAGCUGAAGCAGAUGUUUGAUACCAAGAAGCAAAAUAGUACAUCCAGAGCCAAAAGAAGACCUGGAGCUUGUGAACUACACUCCAAUCUGUACCGGUUUGAUGAUGAAACCAAUUGCUACUGCUGUGUCUCAGAUGGUGGAGUGGAAAUCAAGCAAGCACCUGCAAGUUCUUUAUCGAAACCUGAUGAACCCUCCCUUCCUCUUGCAAAGAUACCAGGGCCAGAAUCAAGCAAAGAGAACAGUGGCGUCAUGUGGACGUCAUCGCCUGACCGGCUUGAAGAUCAUCGCAGACCAUUGCAGUACUCAAACAGUUCUGGCUCUCCCUGUGUUUCAGAAUCAGGAUCUGACAUUUAUAUCAAGAGAGAGGUCAUACAGAAGUUGAGACAGCACCUCAGGAGACGUGAUGAGAUGAUCAUGGAGAUGCAAGCACAGAUAGCUGAUCUUAAGAACUCUCUCAGCAUCGAGGAGACGCAGACCGCCAAUUUGCAGUCCCAGCUGGAUGGUGCCAAUCGAGAUCUGUUCGAAUCCGACAGGGAGAUCCAGCAGCUAAGGAAGAUCAUCGCAGAUCAUUGUGUGGCUGAAGCACUCUCCCGCGACAAGCCCUUGCAAGCUGGAAACUGGCAACCAGAUGCCGCCAAUGGGCAUGCUAAUGGCUAUGCUGAUAGCAGCAUCGAUGACCCUGAGCUGCACUGUAUUGGUAUUGAGAAGAGGAACGGCGAGGCAGAGAGGGUGGAGAUGCUCAAGAGAGAGGUCGGCGAGCUGAAGGAGGUCAUCGAAGGGAAGGACUUCCUGCUCCAGAGCUACAAGGAGCAGAAGGUGGAGCUCUGCUCGAAGAUGAGAGAGCUGCAGGAAAGGCUCUCGGCACAGGUGCCCAACAUCUUGUAG